GAAGAGAGUCAGUCUCACAUGGUGCUACGUAGGGAAAAGCAUUCUGUGGCAUCACAGGUGUGCUUUUAAUUAACGUUUAUCUGAGUGAUUAUAAUUAAAGAUUUUACCACAGAUGUUCCUGGAAUAAUUACUUUCUACUUCCUUGCGCAGUGCACGUUUUAGGAAAUGGAGACUAUUUCUCCCUUCAAAUACUUUCUCAGUUAUUUUAGAAUUUCUUGCUCUUCAAUGGCUUUGCUAUCGAGGUUUUCCUAAUAGCUUUUCUUUUUCAGAUUCCCACUGGGUUUUCCAGGACCUCAGAAAAGGCAUUUAAUAAAAUACAGGUUGCAUUUUAUUAUGCUUGCGUCUAGGGAAACCAGUAUCUGCGGAGUUCCAAAUUUAUCUUUGGAGUUGAGAAUGAAUUGCUCGUUUUUUGUUUCUGGCGCUCCUCACUGGUUCUACUUUCUUCAGUUUUGUUCUGCGUCUUUGAAGAUAGAGAUCUGAUUUGUUAUUGCACUUGUACACGCAGGUCUUAGCUGAUGGUUUUAUUGCACGUCGACUGUUGUGAGGUGUACCGGAUACGAAAGACUGAGCAGCUAUCCUGAUUUACGUGAAGACUGAUUGUGCCUCUCUGCACGUUAGCUAGCAUUUCCUUGGUUUCCUGUUGACAUUUUUGUCAAUAACAUAACAUCAUAUUGUGAAGUGGCAAUUAGAAAACACAGGUGAAGAGAAGCAGGCUCUGUUUUGCUUGGGGUUCUGAGAUGCAUGGGAUCACGUUCUUCCUUUGAGUUUUAAUAAAAGAAACUGAACUACGAAUUUAGAACAGAAUGACAGAUCUGAAGGAACGGAUAUCAGUGGAGUCCACGGUCACUUCUGUUGUAUGCCAUACGAGGUCAUACAAACUGACCGACGUAACUGGCACGUUUCAUUUUCCUAAGCGGUCGCUGAGCCUGGUUCAAACGCAGUUCCUGACUUCUGCCAGCAGCUAG
This 965-nucleotide long non-coding RNA is filed under the name Phasianus colchicus (ring-necked pheasant). Its description in RNAcentral is "lncRNA (ENSPCLG00000004214.1)". Lineage: Eukaryota; Metazoa; Chordata; Aves; Galliformes; Phasianidae. The record is from RNAcentral.